UACGUAGGGGCAAGCGUUGUCCGGAAUUACUGGGCGUAAAGCGCACGCAGGCGGAAUUGUAAGUCCGUUGUAAAAUUCCGAGGCUCAACCUCUGUCUGUCGGCGGAUACUGCAAAUCUAGAGUAUGUGAGAGGGAAGUGGAAUUCCUGGUGUAGCGGUGAAAUGCGUAGAUAUCAGGAGGAACUCCGGUGGCGAAGGCGACUUCCUGGCACAAGACUGACGCUCAUGUGCGAAAGCUAGGGUAGCGAACGGGAUUAGAUACCCCCGUAGU
RNAcentral lists this ribosomal RNA (270 nucleotides) under uncultured prokaryote. RNAcentral's name for it is "partial 16S ribosomal RNA". It matches the Rfam family "Bacterial small subunit ribosomal RNA", at positions 524 to 794 of the family's 1533-position model. The record is from RNAcentral.